UAGUAUUCAAUUGUCAGAGGUGAAAUUAUUGGAUUUAUUGAAGACUAACUACUGCGAAAGCAUUUGCCAAGGAUGUUUUCAUUAAUCAAGAACGAAAGUUAGGGGAUCGAAGACGAUCAGAUACCGUCGUAGUCUUAACCAUAAACUAUGCCGACUAGGGAUCGGAUGAUGUUAGUUUUUUAAUGACUCA
This 190-nucleotide ribosomal RNA is filed under the name uncultured Glomeromycotina. Its description in RNAcentral is "partial 18S ribosomal RNA". It matches the Rfam family "Eukaryotic small subunit ribosomal RNA", at positions 892 to 1078 of the family's 1831-position model. The record is from RNAcentral. Lineage: Eukaryota; Fungi; Glomeromycota.